Molecule: long non-coding RNA, 463 nt
Organism: Ictalurus punctatus (channel catfish)
Lineage: Eukaryota; Metazoa; Chordata; Actinopteri; Siluriformes; Ictaluridae
Source: Ensembl
ACGAAAUAUGAUUGUUUACAUUAAAAUGCAAAAGUUGAUGAAAAAGUAUGAUAAGGUGAAAAAAGUGACAUUUUAUGUCUAGAAAGUCAGUUUUCAUCAAAAGUACAAUAACAAAAUUAGUUCCCAUUCAUCCUGUGUCCCCUAACACACUUGUGCUCUUUAUCCGCUCAAAACGCUAUACAGCGAACGAGAAGGCGCUAGGAGCAAGGAAAGUGGUUUUUCUAACAAAGUCAUAUAAUCAGUUGUCCGACCUACUCCAAUUUGAUUUUUUUCACAUAGUUAGACAUAAUUUAGUACUAUGAAAUGUUUCUGACCCAAAAUAUUACGAAAUAUGAUUGUUUACAUUAAAAUGCAAAAGUUGAUGAAAAAGUAUGAUAAGGUGAAAAAAGUGACAUUUUAUGUCUAGAAAGUCAGUUUUCACCAAAAGUACAAUAACAAAAUUAGUUCCCAUUCAUCCUGUGUC